RNAcentral lists this unclassified non-coding RNA (313 nucleotides) under uncultured Thelephoraceae. Its description in RNAcentral is "sequence contains ITS2". The record is from RNAcentral. Lineage: Eukaryota; Fungi; Basidiomycota; Agaricomycetes; Thelephorales; Thelephoraceae.
AACGCACCUUGCGCCCUUUGGCUAUUCUGAAGGGCAUGCCUGUUUGAGUAUCAUGAACACCUCAACUCUCGUGGUCCGCCGCGAUGAGCUUGGACUUUGGGGGUCUUGCCGGCCUAGUGUCGGCUCCUCUCAAAUGGAUCAGCCUGCCAGUGUUUGGUGGCAUCACGGGUGUGAUAACUAUCUACGCUUGUGGUUUUCCACCAUGUAACCUUCAGCGAUGGAGGUUCGCUGGGGCUCACAGAUGUCUCUCCUCGGCGAGGACGGCUUUUGAACGUUUGAUCUCAAAUCAGGUAGGACUACCCGCUGAACUUAA